Molecule: long non-coding RNA, 768 nt
Filed under: Manihot esculenta (cassava)
Lineage: Eukaryota; Viridiplantae; Streptophyta; Magnoliopsida; Malpighiales; Euphorbiaceae
Description: long non-coding RNA (MESC_LNC008782)
Source: RNAcentral
UUGCUUGAUGUGGAUCCAAUUUGACAGGCUUGCUCUCUUUUGCUCCAAUAAGGCAGUUUUAGGGGGAUUUUCUCUAAAUAGUCCUUUUACACCGUUUUCUGCAAAAUAAUAUUAAAAGCACUAAAUUAAGCAGAAAUCAUGUAAAUAUUCAUCAAUAAUAUUAAUAUAAAAUGGACAAAAUUAUGCUUUAUCAAAUACCCCCACACUUAACCUUUUGCUUAUCCUCAAGCAAAUAAAUAUAGUCAAACAAGCUUUCUUUGCUCUAGAUCCUUAUUUCCACUUAAACUCUUACUCAAGACACCUAUUUUGAAGCAUUGCAGUGAAGAAUAUAUGCAUGAAGAUUACUCACCUUCUUUCCUUGUUUCCCUUUACUCACCAUGGCUAGGAUUUGUUUUCCUCAAGAGAGACCAUACAUGCACAUUUUUGUUAAGACUUUUUCUAGCUUUCAGAGUGACUUGCCCUUACCUUGAAGUACUUUAUUCAAGCUUUUGCACUUAGAUUUUUCUUAAAAAAGUCAUCAACCUUUUGACGUGAAGGUACAUAUUUGUGAUACUCACCCCCAGUUACUCAGUUGGUCACCUUUUCAAGUGGCUACUAGCUCUGUUCUUAGUCUUUUGACCAUUGGAACAAUUUUUUACUUUGUGCUUUUGAGGUCUUUGCCUUUACUGAAUUUUCUUUCUCUCAAUGAUUUGGGCAAAUCAACACCAAUUGCUAAAUCAAGUCACAUUAAGUUCAUUCACACAACUUUCAAUUUAUUCUCAUCAAUUG